This is a long non-coding RNA of Daphnia pulex (common water flea), 3269 nucleotides long. RefSeq lists it as uncharacterized. NCBI's taxonomy places the organism in Eukaryota, Metazoa, Arthropoda, Branchiopoda, Diplostraca, Daphniidae. The record is from RefSeq and is a predicted model, not a curated record. The transcript has 9 exons.
GGGGGCGUGGUCAUCAAAGUGCUGAGACCUGAGACGAUUGUCUUUCUAUCUAUCCGAGGAUGGUUAUCGAUGGUUACGUUAGUCAUUACUCAUUACGGGGUAUUUUCUUUACUUUCUUUCUUGAAAUUGUCAAUUGAUCUUCAUAAGAAAAGUACAUUUCCUGAUUUCCUCAAAAUGUCGUAUCUUGCUGCAUGUUGCACGUUUCGUCACAUCUGAAAGCAGUGUGAAAUUACUUCAAAAAUGAUUGUGGAGCGUAAGUCGGCAUCCAGCUUCAUAAAAGUAACACUGGAUUUUCAAUAAUUCGUCUGCAGCAAUUUCUGGAAUAUUUGGAUAAUGACCGACAUGGGCGCAAAUACUUCCUUGCAAGAAACAUCUUCAUCGAAGAAAAUGGCAACCAGGAAGAAAUUGGCGUCGAAGACCAUAAAACGUGGAACUACUCAUGCCAGCACCAUCAGCUUGAACAGUUCCUUUCAACUUUGGCCAUGGCAGAAUUAAAUUAACCCAUCAUUGAAACUUGUGAGCAAUUUUAUCUGAGGCAAGAAGUAUUGAGGCGGUUGUUUCCCAUUUUGACAAACACCUAGAUGACAACCACACAUAACAAAUGUAAAGGUAACUCCUAUCUUGACGGGCCGGCCAGUUUGCAUAUCCUUCACGCUUGAAGGUCGAGGGAAACAUUGUGUAAAAUUGUCAAUGCGGCGGUGUAGAGAUUGGGUGAGAACUGGACGUGUUGCAUCAUUUUCAGCAGGUACAAUAGCCGCAAGGCUCAGCCAUUUGGUAUUGAUUUUGGUUUUUGUAGACCCAACCCCAGCAACGUCAACCUAAAGAAGGAAAGGCCAGUUUGCAUUUCCUUCACUUUCGAAGGUCACGGAGAUCAUUACGUAAAACUGUCAAUGCGGUGGUGUAGAGGUUGGGUGAGGACGACACGUGUAACAUAUCAAGCAGGAGAGAGAAAAGUCGACAAGGAUCAGUCGAACGAGUAUCUCCGACACGGUAACAACUUCAGCGCACUAUUGGUCACCAGCUGCAUUCUUCAUCGUAUCAUCAUCAGUUCGCAAUCCCAACAAACUGUGGCGUCGUGCUGCUGUUGGUUGUUGUCCUGAAAUACUACUCCACCGAGGCUUCAAAGUAUUACACUACAAUUUAUGCUGCCGCGAGAUGCAUCACUAAAGAGCUCGAGUUCUACAUCGUGAUCCCAUUCGUAUUAAGCCAUAACCAUUUGGUAUUAAUUUGAUAUUGUUUGUUGUACACCCACCCCCAGCAACGUCCAAUUAGCAUGUCCUUCACCCUUGAAGGUCGCGGAGAUCAUUAUGCAAAUCUGUCAAUGCGGUGGUGUAAGGUUGGGUGAGAACAGAAAGUGUUUGCUAUAUUAUCGAGGAGGUAUAAUAGUCGUAAGGCUUAAGAGAGGGGUCAGGGUGAGAAAAAGUCGUAUUAGUGGCAAGAGAAAAGUCAAUAGGGAUCAGUCGAGUGAGUAUCUCCAUCACGGCAACAACUGCAGCCCACUAUUUGUCACCAACUGCCUUCUUCAUUGUACAACCAGUUCGCAAUCACGGUUCACUCUGGCGCCGUGCUGCUGUUUGGUGUCUUAUCGUUGAAGGUUGGGUCGACCACGGGUUUACUGAUGUCUUCUGGUCAUGGUGGAGACCAAGCAACAGCAGCGAAAGAAUACUACACCACGCCGCCGCCUUACUACGCAACGAAGUCAACAUACGCAACAUCUACUUACAACACCGAGGCCCCCAAGUGCUACACCACCAAGGCUCAAGAGUUACGCUACAAAUAACGCUGCCCCGAGUUACAUCACCAAAGCGCCUGAGUACUACAUCCCCGAGGCACUACAACUGAGGCGGCGAAGUACUACGUAGCCUAUGCUUACAACACAGCAGCUGCUCCUUCAUACUACGUUGAACUGAAAUACUACACCAAGGCUGCAGUUAACUACACCACAACCUACGCUACACCUAGCUACUAUGACGAAGCCCCCAACUACUACACCGAAGAGGCCACAUGUUACACAUCAACGUACAGUGCCCCAGUUUACUACACCGAGGAACCCAAGUAUUACUCUGCUCCAAGCUACUACCAAACUGAGGCUCCUGUUUACCAAGGCCACCGAGUAUUAUACUACAACCAAACGUUAACUAUGGCGUCGUGCUGCUGUUGGUUGUAUUAUCCUUGAUGGCUGGGUUGACCACUGGUGUACCAAUGUCUCCUGGGUAUGGCGGAUACCAAACCGCAACGCCGGUGUCUUACUAUACAACAACAUACGCAGCAACCGGAUACUACACCCCCAAGGCCCUAGAGUAUUAAUUACACCAUAACUUAUGAAGUCCCGAACUUCUACACCGAAGCUUCGAAGUUUAACUCAGCCCCGGGUUAAACCACCAAGGCAGCGGAGUACUACACCACCAAGGCAGCGGAGUACUACACCACCAAGGCAGCGGAGUACUACACCACCAAGGCAGCGGAGUACUACACCACCAAGGCAGCGGAGUACUACACCACCAAGGCAGCGGAGUACUACACCACCAAGGCAGCGGAGUACUACACCACCAAGGCAGCGGAGUACUACACCACCAAGGCAGCGGAGUACUACACCACCAAGGCAGCGGAGUACUACACCACCAAGGCAGCGGAGUACUACACCACCAAGGCAGCGGAGUACUACACCACCAAGGCAGCGGAGUACUACACCACCAAGGCAGCGGAGUACUACACCACCAAGUCAGCGGAGUACUACACCACCAAGUCAGCGGAGUACUACACCACCAAGGCAGCGGAGUACUACACCACCAAGGCAGCGGAGUACUACACCACCAAGGCAGCGGAGUACUACACCACCAAGGCAGCGGAGUACUACACCACCAAGGCAGCGGAGUACUACACCACCAAGGCAGCGGAGUACUACACCACCAAGGCAGCUGCAUAUACGUACUACGUUGAACCGGAAUGCUAAACCGAGGCUCCAGUUUUCUAUACUACAGCCUGCGCUUCUCCUAGGUACUAUACUACCAAGGCAACUGAGUAUUACACCACUUCUUACGCUGCUACCACCUACUACACCGAAGCUCCGAAGUUGUACUCUGUGCUGAGUUACCACACCAUUAAGGAAGUCGAACAUUACACCACAAACGCUUCCGCAACUUACUACAUGGUGAUUCCGAAAUUUCUAUUUGAUUUUAUUUAGAUAUGUCGGUUUUCUUCAUGGUCAUUGGUCAUUGGGAAUUAAUUGUUGAUCUCGAUUGAGAAAAUAAAAUUUCUAAUGCCGGUAA